RNAcentral lists this ribosomal RNA (505 nucleotides) under uncultured Myxococcales bacterium. RNAcentral's name for it is "bacterial SSU rRNA". It matches the Rfam family "Bacterial small subunit ribosomal RNA", at positions 400 to 896 of the family's 1533-position model. The record is from RNAcentral. Lineage: Bacteria; Pseudomonadati; Myxococcota; Myxococcia; Myxococcales.
CGUGUGUGAUGAAGGUCUUCGGAUCGUAAAGCACUGUCGCGAGGGAAGACGAGCUGUUCCUUAAUACGGAACGGAAGAGACGGUACCUCGAGAGGAAGCACCGGCUAACUCUGUGCCAGCAGCCGCGGUAAUACAGAGGGUGCGAGCGUUGUUCGGAAUUAUUGGGCGUAAAGCGCUUGUAGGCGGUCAAUCAAGUCCUGUGUGAAAGCCCAUGGCUUAACCAUGGAAGUGCGCAGGAAACUGAUGGACUUGAGUGCCGGAGAGGGUCGCGGAAUUCCCGGUGUAGAGGUGAAAUUCGUAGAUAUCGGGAGGAACACCAGUGGCGAAGGCGGCGACCUGGACGGACACUGACGCUGAGACGCGAAAGCGUGGGGAGCAAACAGGAUUAGAUACCCUGGUAGUCCACGCUGUAAACGAUGGGUGCUAGGUGUGGCGGGUUUUGACCCCUGCCGUGCCGCAGCUAACGCAAUAAGCACCCCGCCUGGGAAGUACGGCCGCAAGGCUA